Molecule: ribosomal RNA, 1537 nt
Filed under: Escherichia coli
Lineage: Bacteria; Pseudomonadati; Pseudomonadota; Gammaproteobacteria; Enterobacterales; Enterobacteriaceae
Description: bacterial SSU rRNA
Rfam family: Bacterial small subunit ribosomal RNA
Source: RNAcentral
UUGAAGAGUUUGAUCAUGGCUCAGAUUGAACGCUGGCGGCAGGCCUAACACAUGCAAGUCGAACGGUAACAGGAAGCAGCUUGCUGCUUUGCUGACGAGUGGCGGACGGGUGAGUAAUGUCUGGGAAACUGCCUGAUGGAGGGGGAUAACUACUGGAAACGGUAGCUAAUACCGCAUAACGUCGCAAGACCAAAGAGGGGGACCUUCGGGCCUCUUGCCAUCGGAUGUGCCCAGAUGGGAUUAGCUAGUAGGUGGGGUAACGGCUCACCUAGGCGACGAUCCCUAGCUGGUCUGAGAGGAUGACCAGCCACACUGGAACUGAGACACGGUCCAGACUCCUACGGGAGGCAGCAGUGGGGAAUAUUGCACAAUGGGCGCAAGCCUGAUGCAGCCAUGCCGCGUGUAUGAAGAAGGCCUUCGGGUUGUAAAGUACUUUCAGCGGGGAGGAAGGGAGUAAAGUUAAUACCUUUGCUCAUUGACGUUACCCGCAGAAGAAGCACCGGCUAACUCCGUGCCAGCAGCCGCGGUAAUACGGAGGGUGCAAGCGUUAAUCGGAAUUACUGGGCGUAAAGCGCACGCAGGCGGUUUGUUAAGUCAGAUGUGAAAUCCCCGGGCUCAACCUGGGAACUGCAUCUGAUACUGGCAAGCUUGAGUCUCGUAGAGGGGGGUAGAAUUCCAGGUGUAGCGGUGAAAUGCGUAGAGAUCUGGAGGAAUACCGGUGGCGAAGGCGGCCCCCUGGACGAAGACUGACGCUCAGGUGCGAAAGCGUGGGGAGCAAACAGGAUUAGAUACCCUGGUAGUCCACGCCGUAAACGAUGUCGACUUGGAGGUUGUGCCCUUGAGGCGUGGCUUCCGAGCUAACGCGUUAAGUCGACCGCCUGGGGAGUACGGCCGCAAGGUUAAAACUCAAAUGAAUUGACGGGGGCCCGCACAAGCGGUGGAGCAUGUGGUUUAAUUCGAUGCAACGCGAAGAACCUUACCUGGUCUUGACAUCCACGGAAGUUUUCAGAGAUGAGAAUGUGCCUUCGGGAACCGUGAGACAGGUGCUGCAUGGCUGUCGUCAGCUCGUGUUGUGAAAUGUUGGGUUAAGUCCCGCAACGAGCGCAACCCUUAUCCUUUGUUGCCAGCGGUCCGGCCGGGAACUCAAAGGAGACUGCCAGUGAUAAACUGGAGGAAGGUGGGGAUGACGUCAAGUCAUCAUGGCCCUUACGACCAGGGCUACACACGUGCUACAAUGGCGCAUACAAAGAGAAGCGACCUCGCGAGAGCAAGCGGACCUCAUAAAGUGCGUCGUAGUCCGGAUUGGAGUCUGCAACUCGACUCCAUGAAGUCGGAAUCGCUAGUAAUCGUGGAUCAGAAUGCCACGGUGAAUACGUUCCCGGGCCUUGUACACACCGCCCGUCACACCAUGGGAGUGGGUUGCAAAAGAAGUAGGUAGCUUAACCUUCGGGAGGGCGCUUACCACUUUGUGAUUCAUGACUGGGGUGAAGUCGUAACAAGGUAACCGUAGGGGAACCUGCGGUUGGAUCACCUCCUU